This 459-nucleotide ribosomal RNA is filed under the name uncultured bacterium. RNAcentral's name for it is "partial 16S ribosomal RNA". It matches the Rfam family "Bacterial small subunit ribosomal RNA", at positions 338 to 795 of the family's 1533-position model. The record is from RNAcentral.
CCUACGGUGGGCAGCAGUGAGGAAUAUUGGACAAUGGGCGGGAGCCUGAACCAGCCAAGCCGCGUGAGGGAAGAAGGUACAGCGUAUCGUAAACCUCUUUGGUCAGGGAACAAAGGCGGGGACUAGUCCCCGGAUGAGGGUAGCUGAAGAAAAAGCAUCGGCUAAAUCCGGGCCAGCAGCCGCGGUAAUACGGAGGAUGCGAGCGUUAUCCGGUUUUAUGGGGUUAAAGGGGUGCGCAGGCGGCCUGUUAAGUCAGCGGUAAAAGCCCGGGGCUGAACCCCGGCGAGCCGUUGAAACUGGCGGGCUGGAGUGGGAGAGAAGUACGCGGAAUGCGCGGUGUAGCGGUGAAAUGCUUAGAUAUCGCGCAGAACCCCGAUUGCGAAGGCAGCGUACCGGCUCCACACUGACGCUGAGGCACGAAAGCGUGGGUAUCGAACAGGAUUAGAUACCCGGGUAGUC